GUUAGGUUACACAGCUUUCGCUACCCUGGGAACAAAGCGCCGUCGUCUCCAACGUCUCCAACACCUCCGAGGUCUCCGACAUCUCGUCAUCCACAGCAACGUGCAUUACCACUGGCUCCUGUAGAAAACCAAUAUAAAUUGGUUGGAAAGGAAGACUGCAGAGAUGAUCGUGCUGGCGAUUACGAGGUGACGCUGCCCACUCAAAAUAAAGAAGUUGGCAAAGAAGGUGUCAGGGUACAAGAUGAAACUCCAGACUACGAAGUGACGCGGCCCUGUCAUAGU
Patiria miniata (bat star) is the source of this 282-nucleotide long non-coding RNA. RefSeq lists it as uncharacterized. NCBI's taxonomy places the organism in Eukaryota, Metazoa, Echinodermata, Asteroidea, Valvatida, Asterinidae. The record is from RefSeq and is a predicted model, not a curated record. The transcript is spliced from 3 exons.